This 468-nucleotide ribosomal RNA is filed under the name uncultured bacterium. RNAcentral's name for it is "bacterial SSU rRNA". It matches the Rfam family "Bacterial small subunit ribosomal RNA", at positions 28 to 507 of the family's 1533-position model. The record is from RNAcentral.
GAUGAACGUUGGCGGCGUGCCUAAUACAUGCAAGUCGAACGAGGACCCGGUAUUUAUAUCGGUGCUCCUAGUGGCGAACGGGUGAGUAACGCGUUGGUGAUCUGCCCUGAAGAGAGGGAUAACAGCUAGAAAUGGCUGCUAAUACCUCAUGUGGUUGCGAGAGUUAGGGGUCUUGCAAUUAAAGGAGUAAUCCGCUUCAGGAGGAACCUGCGUCCCAUCAGCUAGUUGGUGGGGUAAUGGCCUACCAAGGCUAAGACGGGUAGGGGCGUGAGAGCGCGACCCCCCACAAUGGAACUGAGACACGGUCCAUACUCCUACGGGAGGCAGCAGUGAGGAAUAUUGCGCAAGUGGGGGCAACCCUGACGCAGCAACGCCGCGUGGGUGAUGAAGGCCUUCGGGUACGUUAAACCCUUUUCUGGGGGAAGAGAAAGGACGGUACCUCAGGAAUAAGUCCCGGCUAACUACGUG